GACGAACCGUCCAAACGUUAUUCGGAAUCACUGGGCUUAAAGGGUGCGUAGGCGGCGCGACAAGUUGGGUGUGAAAUACCUCGGCUCAACCGAGGAACUGCGCCCAAAACUGUCGUGCUCGAGGGAGAUAGAGGUGAGCGGAACUUAGGGUGGAUCUGUGAAAUGCGUUGAUAUCCUAAGGAACACCGGUGGCGAAAUCGGCUCACUGGAUCUCUUCUGACGCUGAGGCACGAAAGCUAGGGUAGCGAACGGG
RNAcentral lists this ribosomal RNA (253 nucleotides) under uncultured bacterium. RNAcentral's name for it is "partial 16S ribosomal RNA". It matches the Rfam family "Bacterial small subunit ribosomal RNA", at positions 524 to 776 of the family's 1533-position model. The record is from RNAcentral.